AAGUCGUAACAAGGUCUCCGUUGGUGAACCAGCGGAGGGAUCAUUACCGGGUCGGCGACUGCCCGAAACCACACCGUGCACCUGCACCGGUACUCUUUUGUUUGAGCCGCGCGCACCGCGGCGGGUUUGCUCGCUGGGGGAGCAGCAGGUCCGGCGGACUCGUCCCCGGGCCGGCCCGCCAAGGUGCCGUCCAGAAACACGCUGAGGAACUUUCUGAAGGUGCAACGGCGGCCUCGUGCCCCGAAAAACCUAGUCACAACUCACAACGAUGGAUCUCUUGGCUCCG
Molecule: unclassified non-coding RNA, 286 nt
Filed under: fungal sp.
Lineage: Eukaryota; Fungi
Description: partial internal transcribed spacer region
Rfam family: Eukaryotic small subunit ribosomal RNA (bases 1-46)
Source: RNAcentral